UAAACUUUUAUAUAGUUUUUAUUGUGUGUCAGAUACACUUAAGCACUAGUAAAUGUUUAACCCUCAGGAUGAUAAGAGGAGAUAUUAUAGUUUACAGAUGAGGAAACUGAGGAACAGAAAGGUUAAGUGAAUUGCUCAAGGUCACACAGCUAGCAAGGAUUUGAACCCAGGCUUCACCAUCUGUGCCCACAACUACAAGGGGACACUUCCACAAUGAUAAGCAUCUUUCACAGGUGACUGGUGUCUCCAUUUUUGGACACAGAGCCAGGUGGCAUCUGCAGACACCCCAGUGGCUUUGACUGAGGAAGAGGAGGCGUGAGUGGACACGGCCGUGAGUGAGGGGCUUCUCUUAGGCAGUUCCUGCUGGGGUCGCCCCCACCAAAGCCAGAUCAGAAGUUGGCCCCAGCAACCUUGGCCCUUGGCUCUCCGCCUAGGACUGAGACUUUGAGCCCCUGCAGCCUGGUGCACACAUCUUUACAAAGGGGAGUCUGCCGUGUACCCCGUAUUCAUCAGCGAGGCUGCCAAGCACAAGAAAGGCACUGCCUUCAUCCAGACAGAGACACUCACGUUCUCCGCGCCUCCCCUGCCCGCCCUGGCAUCCAGCCCCACCCUGGGUCCCUAACCCAGGCCACACCUGCCCAGCCUUAGCCCUCUCUUCUUUUUUCUUUUCUUUUAAGGGCCACACCUGCAGCAUGUGGACGUUCCCAGGCUAGGGUUCCAAUCAGAGCUGCACCUGCCGGCCUGCACCACAGCCACAGCAAUGCCAGAUCCGGGCCACAUCUGUGACCUGCAUCGCAGCUCAUGGCAAUGCCAUGAGUGAGGCCAGGAAUCGAACCUGCAUCCUCAUGGAUAUUAAUCAGAUUCUUAAGCUGCUGAGCCACAACAGGGACUCCUCAGCCUUCUCUUCUGAACAGUCCUGAGACACGCUUUCAAGCCCAGGCACCCUCUUUACCACCCACUGUGUCCUGUGUUUCUUGCCACAUCCAGAGACCUCUGGGCCUCAGGUUCCUAUUCUAUAAGGCGGAAGAUGUCCAGGGCCCGUGGUUCAUGUCUUCUGUCCUGCAUGGCCCCUCUCUGUGACCUCAGGAUCUGAGGCAGGGUGGUCUGGGACAUGCUGUGUGUCCUGGGGCCCAUGAUAGCUGUCUCUGGGCCCAUGAUUUUUCAUCAGGGCCCAGGGAGGAAGAUCCCACAGGGUUGAGAGAGGACUUGGAGAAAGACUGUCUGGGGCCAGUCGAGGAGAUUCCAGAGGAGCCAUGACCCAGAGGAGGGCCCCAACCCCACCUGCGUUCCCAGGGCAGAGUCGCUCUGAGAGAGUGCGUGUGGGUGUCUAGGCGUGUGCCCACCCCAAGUGCUGUGUGCAUGUGUGUGUGUGCACACACGUGUUCCUGAGAGCCUCAGUACCUUGGGCCUUCUUCUGGAGGGGUCCAUAUGUGGCUGGAGGUGCAGCCCAGAGGUGCGUUUCCGGAUGCAUCACGAGCCCAGGGCCUGGACGCAGCCUCACACUUCCCAUGCCCAACCUGGCAGCAUCGCUCCUUCCUGACAGCAGGGCUGGUGGAGCCCAGAGCUCGUCCUCACUGGUCGUCGCUCCCUGUCCGCCCCCCACCGCCUGGCCCAUCCAUCUCCCCGCGGCCAUGGCUGCCACGCGGCCUCCCGCUAUUGAGCAGCGAGAUGAAAAGGUGUGAAGAAUAUGGGGGCACCAGGGACAGGCUGGCAGGCAAGAUGGAUGAGGGGCCAAGGAGCCAGGAGGCGCCUCCGGCAGGAAGGGCCGUUCAGCUGGGGAGGAGUCUGUAAAGGGCACGCCACUGUGCGUGGUGUGUGUGUGUGUGUGUGUGUGUGUGUGUGUGUGUAAGACAGAGCAGCGUGUUUCUGUGCACAGGAGCGGUGGCAGGUCAUAAGGCCUCGAGAUCGUGUAUGCAGGUGGCUGGCAGGUCAGCGUGCUCAUGUCCAUGAUGGGGGGUUCCCGUCAGGCAGACCAAAGGCGUGUGCAAGCGCACACACACACACAUGCACACACACAUCAGGAGCCAUAACAGGACCCUGGGCUCCUGGACUGGCACGGAGCCCUCUCUAUCAUCUCUCCUAUUUUCCACCUGCCCCGCUGUGCAUCCUGGGACAAGGUGGCCUGGCUCCACCUCCAUGAGUGGUGCUCCUGGGAGCCGCUGGGACCCUCCAUUACAAGCACAGAGAAUGCCCCCGAUCUUGCCCAGCAGCAGACCCCAGGGCUGGCGAGGCCUUGCUCCACAGCAGGGCGUGGGUCUGUGCCACCCCCAUCUGUGGGAUUCCUCCCAGCUGGGCAGGCAGGGGCCUGGGGCUCCAGGGGCUGAAGCAGCAGACCUCCCUGAGCUGGAGGUGGGGGUGGCCUGCCCCCCUCCCACCUGUGCCUAUGUGCCCAGUAGGGAUGGGCAUCUGCCAACCCCACUUCCCUAGCGCCAGACUCUGGAGGAAAUGGGGGGUUCUAGCUGACUUUGGGGACCCCAGCCCGCUGUGCUCCCACCUAGCACUCCAACCUGGGGGCCAGCCUGCAGUGCUCCCUCCUGGAGUGGGCUAGGCUGGGAUCCAGCCUGAUGACCUGCCCUGGGCCACAUGGCAGCAACCAGCUUCCGGGGACCCCCUCCUCUGCCUUCCCAACCCGCCAUCUGGGCGUCCCCUAGCAUGUCCAGCCCCAGCCAGGUCAGGCUGGACAGAACAGACAGACCCGUGGGCAGAGCAGACAUACCCAGAGGCGUCUGCCCAGGGCCGGUCUCCCACCCUGUGGGCACUAUGCAGACACGGUCUGCCAGGAUGGGGACAGCUUGCCGCUGCCCAGGCUGGGCCAGCCCCUCCCAGGCAGGAGCGAGGAUGCACUUGGUUCAGUUGGGGAAACUGAGGCAGGGGGACGGUCGGGGUCCUGCCAGCGGUGAAGAGGUCAUUGGAGCACAGGGCUUCCUGCCUGCCGGGCGGGGUUUCUGCCUCUGUUAGUACUUGCUGCUAUGGCCCCCUGGGCUCUCCUGCCCAAACUCCCCGGCAAUUCCCCACCAGCAGCCCCAGGUCAGGGUUCUGAGCCCUGGUGAGAGGGCACCGCCUCUGCCAUUGAAUCCUCUGUGCUCCUGCCACUACUGUGACCCCCAUCUUCCCUGAGGCCCUGUCAGCCAGGCCUGGGUCCCUGAAGAUCACCCAGCCUGUCCUGGAGAUGGGCCCCCGCCCUGCGCCUGGGCCCAUUGAUCAGGAAUGGGCUGGGGGCUCCUAGCCGGGAAGGGGAGGAAGCUGGGAGGGGAGAGGAGGCUUGGCCACGUCAGAGCCUUCCCACCUGCCCUCCUCCCGCACAGCAUCGCGCCUGGAGUGGACCAGCCCUGCCAGUGGCCUCGCACAGUCCAGUCUGAGGGUGGCUUGGAGAAGGGGCUGCGCACACCCAGUGCCGGGGGUCCCCCUGCAGAGACCAGAGAACCAAGACCUGGGCGAUCGAGAGGGAAGGACAGUCCUGCCAAGAGACUGGAGACCGUGUAAGGGCCUGAGAGCUAAGCUGUGCUGCCGAAUGGCUCGGGAGACCAGGAGAGGCUGACCGCCCCUCCCGGCAGGCGGAGGCCCCAGCUGAGAAGCCCUGCUCCAGGAGCCAGACGUCCAGAACGUCCCCAUGGCAGGUAAGGGGCUGGAAGACGGGGCAGCCCCAUGGGUGGGCUCAGGAUCCAGGGUGAGGGGGGCAGGGCAGGGACCAGGCUUGGGGACCAAGGAAACCCCGCUAGACCCAGGACCUGGGCAAGAGGAGGGGUCAGGGGCACCCCAGGCUGAGGACUCAGAUCCCGCCAGGGUGGGGCUGAUCGGCUCACAGCCACCCAAGUGCAAAUGUGGGGGUGUUCCCAGGCAGGGGGACAGAGCCACAUCUGAGAGGUGAAAGUCUUAUCAGGCAUGGGUGAUCUUGAGCCUGGCCCCUCCCAUCUCUGAGCCUCACCCCUUGAGUGUCAAGGUGGGGGCUGGACAAGGAGCCUCUAACUUCCCCUCCAGACCUGAUUCAUGGCCUGUGGGAAACUCACCUCCUUCCCCUAGAGAUGCUGACUUUUAGAGGAACCAGGCAGAGGGCAGGCCCCUCCCCAGCGUUACUGAGGGCGCUCAGGGGUGGCACACGGACCAGGAUGGGCAGGGCGAGGGCUCAAAGAAGACUUGGGAGCCGGUGACCAGCCUGUGAAGCCUGCAGACCCAGCAAAGACAUGAGCCUCUCCUCUGGGACCCAUCACCAUGAUCUGGGCUGGCAUCAGUUACCUGGAUGAUGUGACUGCCCCCAGCAGGACGGCUGAAUGAUGGGCAGCUGCCCAUCUGACGGCCAGGUCCCAGGCGGUGGGGGCCUCAGCCCAUCCACCCUUCGUGCUCCUCUUGCAGAUUUGGACCCAGUAUGGCCCCUUCUCUCAGCGAGACCCACCCACCCCC
RNAcentral lists this long non-coding RNA (4398 nucleotides) under Sus scrofa (pig). RNAcentral's name for it is "lncRNA (ENSSSCG00005005481.1)". The record is from RNAcentral. Lineage: Eukaryota; Metazoa; Chordata; Mammalia; Artiodactyla; Suidae.